GGGCAAUAAUCCCCCGAUUAAGUGGACGAGGAAGGCAGUUAAGUGAGGAAAAACCACAAAUAAACAAUAAUAAGAAUAAUUUAGGAGCAGGGAGGAGCUGGCAGCUGAGUCCCUUUGCCUUUCCUGGGCAGCACGCAGGGCCAGGAGCACUCUGGGAAGUGUAGUUCUGCCUUCUCUGCUGACAUCCUCUGCUGGCAGGAUGGAAAUCUCAGCUUUUCUCUCCAUUCCUCCCUUCGUUCUCAGUCCAAGUGUCUCAUGGAUGCCAAGGCAGCUGCCCUAGGGAUUGAGAGCAGAAUCACUGAGAACGUGGGAUUCCUCUUCCUGCACUUUGAUCUCUCCAAUUUUCAGCUCAUUCUGGCUGCCUUAUAGGCACUAAUCCCUCUGCAGGCAUCGGAGAGAAUCCACCUACACUUCAUGCAGCAAUCACUUAAGUCUUAUUGUGUAAAUAAAAUCUCAAACACGAAAUCC
This 468-nucleotide long non-coding RNA is filed under the name Gallus gallus (chicken). RNAcentral's name for it is "lncRNA (ENSGALG00010017192.1)". The record is from RNAcentral. Lineage: Eukaryota; Metazoa; Chordata; Aves; Galliformes; Phasianidae.